RNAcentral lists this ribosomal RNA (1560 nucleotides) under Triticum aestivum (bread wheat). Its description in RNAcentral is "partial small subunit ribosomal RNA". The record is from RNAcentral. Lineage: Eukaryota; Viridiplantae; Streptophyta; Magnoliopsida; Poales; Poaceae.
AUGAAUGCCCGCACCACUGCGCUCGCGUGCCCCGGCCUGACGGCGUUCGCCCUGCGCCUCAUCAACAAGCUCUCCUCGACGAGCGCGACCAGCACCGGCAACCUCGUCUUCUCGCCGCUGUCCAUCUACGCGGCGCUCGCCCUAACGUCCGCCGGCGCCCGGGGCGUGACUCUCCAGCAGCUGCUCGCCCUUCUCGGCGCCAAGUCCCGCAAGGACCUAGCCAAGAUCGUCCGCGGCCUGGCGGAGCAGGCCCUCGCCGACCGCACGCUGGGCGGUGAGCCGCGCGUCUCCUUCGCGUGCGGCAUGUGGCACGACGAGACCCGGAAGCUCAGGCCAUCCUUGCGCGAAGCCGCCGCCCAGUUCUACAAGGCGGAAACCGGCGCCGUCAACUUCCAUGAAAAGUUCUAUCCAAUCACGCGUGGGUGUUCGACGCUGCAGCCAGGAGAAGCCGUGAAGCAGAUCAACGCCUGGGCGGCGGCGGCGACGAACAACCUCAUCGACUCGGUGCUCACCGAGCAGCAGGUGUCCACCGAGACGGAUGUCAUCGUCGCCAACACCGUCUACUUCAAGGCCAUCGGCAAGGAGCAGUACAUCGCCUGCCACCAAGGGUUCAAGGUGCUCAAGCUCGACUACAGGCAAGGGCACGUGUGGUCUUCGCCGCCGGCGUCCUUCUCCAUGUGCAUCUUCCUCCCAGUCCCAGACGAGCGCGACGGGCUCCGAGGCCUUGUCCAGAGGAUCGCGUCCAGCCCGAACUUCAUCCGCGCGCACCUUCCGACGAGCCUCGUCUCGGUGGGCGACUUCAAGCUGCCUAGAUUCAAGCUCACCUUUUCGGCCGACAUAUCUGGCAUUCUCCAGCGGUUGGGACUCCAUAUGGCGGAAGCCGACAUGUCCAACAUGAUGGAGGACGACGGCACUGGCAGGCCGUUGGCUCUGAACGGGGUCGUCCACAAGGCUGUCAUCGAAGUGAACGAGGACGGUACCGAGGCGGCGGCCGUCACCGCCGAUCUAAUGUGCGGCUGCGGUCCUCCACCGAAAACACCGCCGGUUCUCGUGGAUUUCGUCGCUGACCAUCCGUUUGCCUUCUUUGUAAUCGAGGAGGAGUCGGGCGCCAUCGUCUUCGCUGGGAACGUCCUUGAACCCUCUCGGUCGAUUCCUGGAGAGAAUCUUCGUUGCCGUGAGUCCGUACGUCGUGCUCCUAACUUCGUCGGGAGGAGGCCCGAGCAUCCAUGGACUUUGGGUGAGAAACAACCGCUCGGGAUGUUGGGUCUAACCCUAGCUAGCUCUCUAGGGACGGAGGUAGAAGAAGAACUCGAACUGUUACAACUGACUCGAUAUACAGCCGUAUUUGUAGCUAACCGGAACGUAGCGCCCACGCACGCCGCGGUUACCCCACGUACGCUUCCUGGCGAUCCGGUCAUCCAACGUGAGCUGCCCACUCCUCCGCUUGACCUGGAUGCCAUCACGCGCCCGCCGUUGUUACACAACGGAGCUAGCUACAAACCUGGCUUGACUCUAAUCUAUCCUCGAACGUGGCCAAACCAACGUCCGGACUCGAUCUAG